Molecule: transfer RNA, 86 nt
Filed under: Aspergillus pseudonomiae
Lineage: Eukaryota; Fungi; Ascomycota; Eurotiomycetes; Eurotiales; Aspergillaceae
Rfam family: tRNA
About the family: Transfer RNA (tRNA) molecules are approximately 80 nucleotides in length. Their secondary structure includes four short double-helical elements and three loops (D, anti-codon, and T loops). Further hydrogen bonds mediate the characteristic L-shaped molecular structure. tRNAs have two regions of fundamental functional importance: the anti-codon, which is responsible for specific mRNA codon recognition, and the 3' end, to which the tRNAs corresponding amino acid is attached (by aminoacyl-tRNA synthetases). tRNAs cope with the degeneracy of the genetic code in two manners: having more than one tRNA (with a specific anti-codon) for a particular amino acid; and 'wobble' base-pairing, i.e. permitting non-standard base-pairing at the 3rd anti-codon position.
Source: Rfam by way of RNAcentral
GGCCCUAUAGUGUAGUGGUUAUCACUUCAGAUUUUGAUCACAGUAUUGAUAUUCUGAUAACCCCGGUUCGAACCCGGGUAGGACCU